CCUACGGGGGGCAGCAGUGGGGAAUUUUGGACAAUGGGCGCAAGCCUGAUCCAGCAAUGCCGCGUGCAGGACGAAGGCCUUCGGGUUGUAAACUGCUUUUGUACGGAGCGAAAAGGCUCUCUCUAAUACAGGGAGUUGAUGACGGUACCGUAAGAAUAAGCACCGGCUAACUACGUGCCAGCAGCCGCGGUAAUACGUAGGGUGCAAGCGUUAAUCGGAAUUACUGGGCGUAAUACGUGCGCAGGCGGUGAAAUCGCCGGGAUCAGCCUGGGAACUGCCUUUGUGACUGCAUAGCUAGAGUACGGCAGAGGGUGAUGGAAGUCCGCGUGUAGCAGUGAAAUGCGUAGAUAGGCGGAGGAACACCGAUGGCGAAGGCAAUCCCCUGGGCCUGUACUGACGCUCAUGCACGAAAGCGUGGGGAGCAAACAGGAUUAGAUACCCCAGUAGUC
RNAcentral lists this ribosomal RNA (449 nucleotides) under uncultured bacterium. Its description in RNAcentral is "partial 16S ribosomal RNA". It matches the Rfam family "Bacterial small subunit ribosomal RNA", at positions 338 to 795 of the family's 1533-position model. The record is from RNAcentral.